This is a long non-coding RNA of Phragmites australis (common reed), 603 nucleotides long. RefSeq lists it as uncharacterized. The transcript is spliced from 3 exons. NCBI's taxonomy places the organism in Eukaryota, Viridiplantae, Streptophyta, Magnoliopsida, Poales, Poaceae. The record is from RefSeq and is a predicted model, not a curated record.
UGUUCGGGGGCAGGUAUUUGGAUCAUAACCUGCUUUUUGGCACAAUCCCGGAACAAAUAGGCUCAUUGAGGAGCCUGAGUGUUUUGGAUUUGAGCAUUAAUCGGCUCACUGGCCCUAUCCCUUCUGAGUUAGGUGGCUUGAGCAGGAAAUUUCCAUUCCAAUGGGUUGACAGGGAAUAUACGUCCAGAGCUGGGCAAACUGCAGAAUCUCGUUGAGCUGAGGUUGGAUAGGAAUAGACUGAAGGGAUCAAUUCCGGGAAGCACCUCUGCCGGGUUUUCUCCUAUUGCAAAUACUCACAAUGGACUGUGCCCUUCUCCUCGAUUAUAUGUUGGGGAUUUCUCUUACAAUUUUCUUGUCAGAAAAAUUCCUCCUUGCUUGAUGUAUCUUCCAAGGUACUGUUAUAUAAAGUACUUGCUGCUCUAUCUGUAUUUUAUUGAAGUUUGCUCAUUUACGAGGCCCGUUCGCAGGUCAAGUUUCCAAGAGGGUGAGUACUCUAUCCGACAACGAGCUUUUCAAAUUUGUAUAAGUACGUUUCUUGUCUUUAGCACCCAGCAAAAUCACUGCGAUACGCACUAUAAUGUAUAAACUGAUAUAUUUCUGCUA